Molecule: ribosomal RNA, 2786 nt
Filed under: Escherichia coli
Lineage: Bacteria; Pseudomonadati; Pseudomonadota; Gammaproteobacteria; Enterobacterales; Enterobacteriaceae
Description: bacterial LSU rRNA
Rfam family: Bacterial large subunit ribosomal RNA
Source: RNAcentral
AGCGUACACGGUGGAUGCCCUGGCAGUCAGAGGCGAUGAAGGACGUGCUAAUCUGCGAUAAGCGUCGGUAAGGUGAUAUGAACCGUUAUAACCGGCGAUUUCCGAAUGGGGAAACCCAGUGUGUUUCGACACACUAUCAUUAACUGAAUCCAUAGGUUAAUGAGGCGAACCGGGGGAACUGAAACAUCUAAGUACCCCGAGGAAAAGAAAUCAACCGAGAUUCCCCCAGUAGCGGCGAGCGAACGGGGAGCAGCCCAGAGUCUGAAUCAGUGUGUGUGUUAGUGGAAGCGUCUGGAAAGACGCGCGAUACAGGGUGACAGCCCCGUACACAAAAAUGCACAUGCUGUGAGCUCGAUGAGUAGGGCGGGACACGUGGUAUCCUGUCUGAAUAUGGGGGGACCAUCCUCCAAGGCUAAAUACUCCUGACUGACCGAUAGUGAACCAGUACCGUGAGGGAAAGGCGAAAAGAACCCCGGCGAGGGGAGUGAAAAAGAACCUGAAACCGUGUACGUACAAGCAGUGGGAGCCUCUUUAUGGGGUGACUGCGUACCUUUUGUAUAAUGGGUCAGCGACUUAUAUUCUGUAGCAAGGUUAACCGAAUAGGGGAGCCGAAGGGAAACCGAGUCUUAACUGGGCGUUAAGUUGCAGGGUAUAGACCCGAAACCCGGUGAUCUAGCCAUGGGCAGGUUGAAGGUUGGGUAACACUAACUGGAGGACCGAACCGACUAAUGUUGAAAAAUUAGCGGAUGACUUGUGGCUGGGGGUGAAAGGCCAAUCAAACCGGGAGAUAGCUGGUUCUCCCCGAAAGCUAUUUAGGUAGCGCCUCGUGAACUCAUCUCCGGGGGUAGAGCACUGUUUCGGCAAGGGGGUCAUCCCGACUUACCAACCCGAUGCAAACUGCGAAUACCGGAGAAUGUUAUCACGGGAGACACACGGCGGGUGCUAACGUCCGUCGUGAAGAGGGAAACAACCCAGACCGCCAGCUAAGGUCCCAAAGUCAUGGUUAAGUGGGAAACGAUGUGGGAAGGCCCAGACAGCCAGGAUGUUGGCUUAGAAGCAGCCAUCAUUUAAAGAAAGCGUAAUAGCUCACUGGUCGAGUCGGCCUGCGCGGAAGAUGUAACGGGGCUAAACCAUGCACCGAAGCUGCGGCAGCGACGCUUAUGCGUUGUUGGGUAGGGGAGCGUUCUGUAAGCCUGUGAAGGUGUGCUGUGAGGCAUGCUGGAGGUAUCAGAAGUGCGAAUGCUGACAUAAGUAACGAUAAAGCGGGUGAAAAGCCCGCUCGCCGGAAGACCAAGGGUUCCUGUCCAACGUUAAUCGGGGCAGGGUGAGUCGACCCCUAAGGCGAGGCCGAAAGGCGUAGUCGAUGGGAAACAGGUUAAUAUUCCUGUACUUGGUGUUACUGCGAAGGGGGGACGGAGAAGGCUAUGUUGGCCGGGCGACGGUUGUCCCGGUUUAAGCGUGUAGGCUGGUUUUCCAGGCAAAUCCGGAAAAUCAAGGCUGAGGCGUGAUGACGAGGCACUACGGUGCUGAAGCAACAAAUGCCCUGCUUCCAGGAAAAGCCUCUAAGCAUCAGGUAACAUCAAAUCGUACCCCAAACCGACACAGGUGGUCAGGUAGAGAAUACCAAGGCGCUUGAGAGAACUCGGGUGAAGGAACUAGGCAAAAUGGUGCCGUAACUUCGGGAGAAGGCACGCUGAUAUGUAGGUGAAGUCCCUCGCGGAUGGAGCUGAAAUCAGUCGAAGAUACCAGCUGGCUGCAACUGUUUAUUAAAAACACAGCACUGUGCAAACACGAAAGUGGACGUAUACGGUGUGACGCCUGCCCGGUGCCGGAAGGUUAAUUGAUGGGGUCAGCGCAAGCGAAGCUCUUGAUCGAAGCCCCGGUAAACGGCGGCCGUAACUAUAACGGUCCUAAGGUAGCGAAAUUCCUUGUCGGGUAAGUUCCGACCUGCACGAAUGGCGUAAUGAUGGCCAGGCUGUCUCCACCCGAGACUCAGUGAAAUUGAACUCGCUGUGAAGAUGCAGUGUACCCGCGGCAAGACGGAAAGACCCCGUGAACCUUUACUAUAGCUUGACACUGAACAUUGAGCCUUGAUGUGUAGGAUAGGUGGGAGGCUUGGAAGUGUGGACGCCAGUCUGCAUGGAGCCGACCUUGAAAUACCACCCUUUAAUGUUUGAUGUUCUAACGUAGACCCGUGAUCCGGGUUGCGGACAGUGUCUGGUGGGUAGUUUGACUGGGGCGGUCUCCUCCUAAAGAGUAACGGAGGAGCACGAAGGUUGGCUAAUCCUGGUCGGACAUCAGGAGGUUAGUGCAAUGGCAUAAGCCAGCUUGACUGCGAGCGUGACGGCGCGAGCAGGUGCGAAAGCAGGUCAUAGUGAUCCGGUGGUUCUGAAUGGAAGGGCCAUCGCUCAACGGAUAAAAGGUACUCCGGGGAUAACAGGCUGAUACCGCCCAAGAGUUCAUAUCGACGGCGGUGUUUGGCACCUCGAUGUCGGCUCAUCACAUCCUGGGGCUGAAGUAGGUCCCAAGGGUAUGGCUGUUCGCCAUUUAAAGUGGUACGCGAGCUGGGUUUAGAACGUCGUGAGACAGUUCGGUCCCUAUCUGCCGUGGGCGCUGGAGAACUGAGGGGGGCUGCUCCUAGUACGAGAGGACCGGAGUGGACGCAUCACUGGUGUUCGGGUUGUCAUGCCAAUGGCACUGCCCGGUAGCUAAAUGCGGAAGAGAUAAGUGCUGAAAGCAUCUAAGCACGAAACUUGCCCCGAGAUGAGUUCUCCCUGACUCCUUGA